ACGGGUGAGUAACGCGUGGGAACGUGCCUUCCGGUUCGGAAUAACCCUGGGAAACUAGGGCUAAUACCGGAUACGCCCUUAUGGGGAAAGGUUUACUGCCGGAAGAUCGGCCCGCGUCUGAUUAGCUAGUUGGUGGGGUAACGGCCUACCAAGGCGACGAUCAGUAGCUGGUCUGAGAGGAUGAUCAGCCACACUGGGACUGAGACACGGCCCAGACUCCUACGGGAGGCAGCAGUGGGGAAUAUUGGACAAUGGGCGCAAGCCUGAUCCAGCCAUGCCGCGUGAGUGAUGAAGGCCUUAGGGUUGUAAAGCUCUUUUAUCCGGGACGAUAAUGACGGUACCGGAGGAAUAAGCCCCGGCUAACUUCGUGCCAGCAGCCGCGGUAAUACGAAGGGGGCUAGCGUUGCUCGGAAUCACUGGGCGUAAAGGGCGCGUAGGCGGCGUUUUAAGUCGGGGGUGAAAGCCUGUGGCUCAACCACAGAAUGGCCUUCGAUACUGGGACGCUUGAGUAUGGUAGAGGUUGGUGGAACUGCGAGU
This 537-nucleotide ribosomal RNA is filed under the name uncultured bacterium. Its description in RNAcentral is "bacterial SSU rRNA". It matches the Rfam family "Bacterial small subunit ribosomal RNA", at positions 102 to 674 of the family's 1533-position model. The record is from RNAcentral.